Molecule: ribosomal RNA, 259 nt
Filed under: uncultured Enterobacterales bacterium
Lineage: Bacteria; Pseudomonadati; Pseudomonadota; Gammaproteobacteria; Enterobacterales
Description: partial 16S ribosomal RNA
Rfam family: Bacterial small subunit ribosomal RNA
Source: RNAcentral
UACGGAGGGUGCAAGCGUUAAUCGGAAUUACUGGGCGUAAAGCGCACGCAGGCGGUUUGUUAAGUCAGAUGUGAAAUCCCCGGGCUCAACCUGGGAACUGCAUCUGAUACUGGCAAGCUUGAGUCUCGUAGAGGGGGGUAGAAUUCCAGGUGUAGCGGUGAAAUGCGUAGAGAUCUGGAGGAAUACCGGUGGCGAAGGCGGCCCCCUGGACGAAGACUGACGCUCAGGUGCGAAAGCGUGGGGAGCAAACAGGAUUAGA